UUGGAAUAAUUUAAGUAAAGCCUUGUCAUUUAUGAGUUUAUGGCUUUCCUUUUCAUCUAGGUUCUUUCUCUUUUAGUGACAGGGAUUCCUUUUGAUCCCUGUGGAUUGUAUCCUUCCUGUCCUUAUGUUAUCUGUGUGUUUUUGUUUCUGUAAGAGGCCUUCACUAACAAUGAGCAGAGCUUAUUUGCAUAGGCGAAAUGUUCUUAUUUGGUUGAAAGAAACUUCAUUCCUUUUAGUUAACUGUAGGUUUGGUUCAUAGAUGGUUACAAGUUAUCCCAUAUUUACUCAAUGUUUGUUAAAGUGUUUAGGACAAGUCAGUCAUUCUUAUUGCAUGUUAAUUUACUAAGUAGAUAAAGACUAGCCAAGGUUUAGUUGCAUUGUUCCACAGGAGUUAUCUGAUCUUGCUCGCGGACAACUCGGCCAUGACAACAACUGGAGAAGAACAGAUGGACAAACUCUGCGGGGGUCACGGGUCGACAAUGAAGUGCGAAUUCACACCACACUACAUUCCUUAGCUAAUCAGCGUUGCUACAGACACAAUCUCCCCUCCCUUUAGUGUAGCAACGCCUCUGUAACCAGGGAAACCAAAACAUUAAAUAGAGGAGCACGUGGAGGGAGAACUCAGAAUUGAUGGAGAUUGUAACCGAGUUUCCUCUCUCUAUCGUUCUCCUCGCGAGUAAACCUGUUUUGGUUCUUUUCUCCUCUUCCUUCCAGUGUGUGGUUUAAUGUCUGAUAGUAUUUAGACCUAACAUUUAUUUGGUCCUUCGAGCCGGAUGCCAAGACACCUGAGGAUUCCAGCGGGCGGCAGCGGAGAUCCAGAAAGACUGCGCGUGGCAGGACCUCCCUAGGUGGGGUCCUAGAAUCCUUUUCAAGGGCUGGCUGUCUGCUACGCCAGCUGGAGUCCAAAGGUUGAAGGCAAUCCGAGGUGCAGAGGUGAGGAGAACCAGAGGGUGAGUUUGUUUUGUUUUUUAAAAGAAUGAGCGGCCGAGGGCUCGUCGUGCCCUAUAAAAGUCCUAGGACAGAACGGAGAGGUCCGUUCUAAAGGUACCAAAACGGAGAGGUCCGUUGAAAUAAAAGGACAGAGGUGUCCAAGAAAAGUUACAAAACGGAGAGGUCCGUUCUAACGGUAACAAAACGGAGAGGUCCGUUUAAAUAAAAGGACAAAGGUGUCCGGUGGAGAGGUCCGUUUGUAGGGUUAGCGUAGUCCGCGGGAAACCGAAAGUCACGCAAUACUGUAUGAUUGAGAGUGUGAAUGGGAAUACGUAUCACUAGAUAUAGUAUUCCAUAUUAAAGCAGUGGGGAACACAUAACGUGGUUCUGUGGACGCAAUAGGCAAGGAUUUUCCACCAGCCACCAGAACGCUGGUAGAAGUGAGAAUCACCACAGGAUCUUUUCGUUAUCCCACUGGAAACACCCGACUUUAGAAACCCCUAUGGUUUUACAGUUGGGACCAAAUUGAUUAAAAUGGGGAACGGGAAGAGUAAAACUAAUAUUCGAGAUACUCUAAAAUGUAACGAUUGGAAAAUAAUUGAAAGGCAGGAUCUCGACCAACUUAGAAAUUUCGAUAAAUGGGUUAAAAAUAUAUAUAUAAAUUUGAGGGACAACUAAAAACAACUGAAUUAUUAGGACUUAGAGGUGCCAUAAACGAAACAACAAAAAGAAAUCUUAAAGAAAUUAAAGAAGGCAUCUGAUGAUGUAGAAGAGAAAGAGAAAGAGAAAGAGAAAGAGAAGAGAGAAAGAGAAGAGAGAAAGAGAAAGAGAAGAGAGAAAGAGAAAGAGAAGAGAGAAAGAGAAGAGAGAAAGAGAAGAGAGACAGAGAGACAGAGACAGAGAGACAGAGACAGAGAGACAGAGACAGAGAGACAGAGAGAGAGAGACAGAGAGAGAGAGACAGAGAGAGAGAGCUCAGAAAGCACUGUAUUGCAGGUAGGAAGAUGAUGAGACUGGGCCUAACAGUAGGCAGGCAAGAGGAAACCAAAAUUUACAGAGAGUUAGAGAAGAAGGGGGAGGUCUAGAGAAAGUAGAGAAGCAUGUAGAGAAAACACAUGCUACAAAUUCAAAACUAAAGAUCAUAGCGGGAGGUAUACAUAAAAUCACACCCUCCAUGCGGAAAGAGUAGUAAUAGACAAACAAAAACAAAUGAAAGCUUCAAAAGACACUUUUCCGGUAGACCAAUAGAAUUCUGGAGUUGCGGGGAAAACGGUCACAUGACACGUGACUGCACAAAUGAACAAAGACAGUUAUGACGAGGCCAAAAUCAAAUCAAAUCAGAUUUCCAUGUAAUGAAGUGGGAACCUGGCUGCCAAAAUUAAAGAGAAAUUAGCUUAAAUAUACAGGAGAUAUUUGUGUUAAAAGGAUAAAGUAAUACAAAGUAACACUUAAGUUAAAAUUUGCAAAAUAAAUGGAAAGGAAUUACAAAUAGCUUCUAAAAGUAAAAUAGAGAAUAAAUCUGACAAGUAAUACGAGCAAAAAGGUGUUCUUAGUGCGUUCUAUGUGUGUUCUUAUAUGUUUUACGUCAUGCUUUUGUGCUGGUGUGUGUGUGCGUGUGCGCGCAGAGGAUCCUCAUGAAUGGGUGUGCGUAUGAGUGCGAGUGAGAGGUGUGUUCUAUGGAAGAAAUCAGUCAUGGAGAAUGUUCUGGAGGCUGUUGAGCAAUAAUAGGGAAAUUGAGAAGUGGAUGAUGGUGUGUUUAAGUUGGUUGGAGAAACUAAGAUGAGCAGUGUGUGGAAGUAGAGAAAAUACCACGUGUGUGGCAGGAAGUGACUAGAAUGGUGGCUUGAUAGGACGAGAAUGAGACAGCAAAUGUUGUGUAGAAGACUGAAAGAUGUUGAAGGUGAACAUGAUGGGGGAGGGCAACGGCAAAGUUGGCCUGCCCUUUGAGAAGGUGAGACUGAUAAGCGUGCCUGCGCUUGCGCGUAGCCGCGGGGCGUAGCUGUCCGCAUGGGCCUGUGCUAUGCUCGUGUGGGUGGUGGGCCGGCAUCAUGAUUGUUGCAGGAAAUGGCCAGCCUGUGACCAAUCAACAUUGAUGCUGCGCCCCCCCUCGCACGAGGGGUGCUAUGGCUGCGGAUGAAGCAGAGAAAGUGUGCGUUUCUCAGAGAAUGUUUGAAUAUUUGGAGCAGGGUGAUGCUUAAGGAAGACAUGACAAUGUUUGCAUUAAGGAUGAAAGGCACUGAUAAAAAAAAAAAAAAAGAGUAUAACCAAAACGUCAGAGGAGGAUGACGUUUGCGCAGCGUUGUUUGUUGGUAUUGUUUGUGAGUUGUGUCUCUACUGUUUUUGUGUUGUCUGUGUACUGUAGGUGUUAUGUGUUAAAAGGGGGAAAUUGGCUAAUAUAGGUGCAAAAAAGAAUUUCCUACACUGUAGUCUAUCUGAUUUGCACCGCAAAACAAAAACGAUUUUGUAAAAAUAGGAAGUAAAAAAACAAAAAGCAAGCAAUUAGUUUAUGGGCAGAAACUAUAUUAAUAAAACUUAAUUAAAAACUAGCAUUAAGGCUAGGAAUUAAUGCCUAGCCUUGAUGAAACAAAAUUUGAGAUGGAAAGAACUUGCUUUCUGGAAUUGGAUGAAGAAAAAUUAUAAAAUAAUGACAUUUUGAAGCUAAAUUUAAAGGGUAUAGUCAAUUGGUUGUGUCAAGACUUUUAAGUUUUUACAUUUGAGAAUAAGAGAGCGAUCGAGUUGAAGUUAAGAAACAACAACAAUUAACUAUUAUACUAAUUUACUGACGGUUAUUUUGUUGAUUUUUAUCUUUUCCAAUUAGUGGAUUGGUUUGACACCUUGAGGAAGGAAAGACGCAAAACAUGUGUGCACUGGGACACUGAGAAGCAUUUUGAAAGGUGUGUCAAAUUGAAUGGAGAUGAAAUCAUAUGUAGUAAUACAACACUUUACUACAUAUGGAUUCCCUAAAUUGUACUAUUGAGUUACAUAAAACAUACAUUUUGAUUUUUAUUCAAAUUGCUAAGAUUCUUGUGAUAAACGAUGAGGAAAUGAUUGAAAAGAAACUACAACUAAGCUAGUAGCAGUCCAAUUGCCACGAAAAAUAGCUAUAUGCACGUGUGCAGGGCACACACGAGACUGAUAAGGUGCCAAGACGUAACAAGCUUGCAGACGGAACUGCGUAGCUGUAGUGCAAAAGACGCUUCAAAUUUUACACACAGAAGAAGCAGAUUAAAUUACUGAAAUAUUUUUAAAGAUGUGCAGCAACAAAAUCCAUCGACUGAAAUUCAAUUAUGGACGAAAAGAGGAGCAAGAGUGGAGAAUGGUAUCUAUAAAUGACCAGACGACUGACCUAUCCUCCAAAAACCUAUACAAGCGGGCAGCAAUAUUGAGCCAUGGUUGUGUGUCGCAUGGCUCAAGAGGGGGGAUAAUGGGGCAGUUCAGUCAGCUUUAUACAUCAUAUGAAUUUGAUUCAUAUUCAAAACGUUUAUAUAAAUUUUUUUUGUAGAGCUUGUUCAACAUGUGCUUAACACAAUCCACAGGGUUAUAAUGCCUGGUCAUAAUAGAUGCAUUCUAAAAAUGGAUUGAAUUGGCUUCAGAAUAAACAUUGAAUGCCUUAACAGUGGCAGAAGGGUUAUGUAAAGAAAUAAUAGUUUGUCAACAACUGCUGUAGAUGUUAAAGAAUGGAAUCAAUAUCUCGAAAAUGAAUGUGGAUAGUUUGUUUACUGAUUGUGAAAAUGUUUGACAAAGUGUUCAAUAUAAUAUCCGUUGAAUGGAAGAAAAAGAAAAGAAACCAUUGCUUUUAGAGAAUGUAGUCAACCAAAAUUGUAUAUGUAUCGACAUGCCAAGAUCUGGGAAAAAGCUGGAAAAAACAAAAAUAUAAUGUCUUUAAAUUUGAGAGGCGACGAUGAUCUGACUAAAAUUGAUGCAAUUAAAGUCCCCAGAGGAGUUCCUGAUUAAUAAGACUUAAUUGACCAAAUUGAACCGGGAUGGGAGUCCUCCAUUUGCUGCUGGUGGACGAUGAACAAGAAUGUUGACAGGAUAAAUUACAUCCAUUGCAACAUGCAGAAAUUGGGCAAACGGACACAAGCGGGACUUGAGGCAGUGCGCGAACAGCUAGCCACGCCUUCCCUAAGGUUAAUCCAGAACCGCAAUGCUCUUGUUAUGUUGUUGUCUGGGAAAGGAAGGGUCUGCGCAAUGUUCAGGGAACAAUGCUGCACCUUCAUCCAGAAUGACACCGCCCCUGAUGGGAGCCUGACAAAGAUGAUUGCAAACUUGCAAUCCCUCAACACGAGGAUGAAAGAGCACAACAAGUGGAUGACUGCUUUUGGGAAGUAUAAAGCCCUUGUGUCCUCAAUUACUGCUAUACUCACCUUUUGUGGAUGUUGUUGUAUUCCAUGUCUCCGUGCUCUGUUUAAUCGUCUUAUCACUACAGCAAUCUCGCCCAUGGACGACGAGAUGGCCCGGGUAUGCCUAAUGUCUGAACGGCAGCAUGUUGAUGAUAACAGUGAUGAUGAUGCAAUUUUUGCACUUGAGUUUACAGACUUUUUCCCAGAUCUGUGUGUUUCCGAAUGAUAAUAUCGCGACAUUUAUCCUUUUUUGGUGUAAACUUAUUUGUGCCAUACUUGUGAUCCGACAACUGAAAAUCGAGAGAAGUGGUUGUUUUUGGUGAUGUAAAUAUUGAGCAAAUAUGUGAUAAACAGGAGGGAAAUGUUGGAAUAAUUUAAGUAAAGCCUUGUCAUUUAUGAGUUUAUGGCUUUCCUUUUCAUCUAGGUUCUUUCUCUUUUAGUGACAUGGAUUCCUUUUGAUCCCUGUGGAUUGUAUCCUUCCUGUCCUUAUGUUAUCUGUGUGUUUUUGUUUCUGUAAGAGGCCUUCACUAACAAUGAGCAGAGCUUAUUUGCAUAGGCGAAAUGUUCUUAUUUGGUUGAAAGAAACUUCAUUCCUUUUAGUUAACUGUAGGUUUGGUUCAUAGAUGGUUAUAAGUUAUCCCAUAUUUACUCAAUGUUUGUUAAAGUGUUUAGGACAAGUCAGUCAUUCUUAUUGCAUGUUAAUUUACUAAGUAGAUAAAGUCUAGCCAUGGUUUAGUUGCAUUGUUCCACAGGAGUUAUCUGAUCUUGCUCGCGGACAACUCGGCCAUGACAACAACUGGAGAAGAACAGAUGGACAAACUCUGCGGGGGUCACGGGUCGACAAUGAAGUGCGAAUUCACACCACACUACAUUCCUUAGCUAACCAGCGUUGCUACAGACACAAUCUCCCCUCCCUUUAGUGUAGCAACGCCUCUGUAACCAGGGAAACCAAAACAUUAAAUAGAGGAGCACGUGGAGGGAGAACUCAGAAUUGAUGGAGAUUGUAACCGAGUUUCCUCUCUCUAUCGUUCUCCUCGCGAGUAAACCUGU
Molecule: long non-coding RNA, 6323 nt
Organism: Syngnathus typhle (broad-nosed pipefish)
Lineage: Eukaryota; Metazoa; Chordata; Actinopteri; Syngnathiformes; Syngnathidae
Exons: 2
Source: RefSeq, a predicted model, not a curated record